AAACUCCAAUGGAGAUGCAGCGGUGCCUAAGCAAGAGCUUACAGUUGCCCAAGCAAACUCCAAUGGAGAUCAACCUGUGCCUAAGCAAGAGCUUGCAGCUACCCAAGCAAACUCCAAUGGAGAUAAAUCUGUGCCUGACCAAGAGCUUGCAGCUAUCCAAGCAAACUCCAGUGGAGAUAAACCUGUGCCUAAGCAAGAGCUUGCAGCUACCCGAGCAAACUCCAAUGGAGAUAAACCUGUGCCUGACCAAGAGCUUGCAGCUAUCCAAGCAAACUCCAGUGGAGAUAAACCAGUGCCUGAACAAGAGCUUCCAGCUACCCAAGCAAACUCCAAUGGAGAUAAACCAGUGCCUGAGCAAGAGCUUCCAGCUACCCAAGCAAACUCCGAUGGAGAUAAACCAGUGCCUGAGCAAGAGCUUCCAGCUACCCAAGCAAACUCCAGUGGAGAUAAACCAGUACCUAAGAUAGAGCUUGCAGCUACCCAAGCAAAUUCUAAUGGAGAUAAACCUGUGCCUGAGUUUACAGCUACCCAAGCAACCUCCAAUGGAAAUAACAGACAAAUAGAAGCAAGCAAGCAAUCCGAAGUUAGUAUGACAGAUGAAGCCUCU
RNAcentral lists this long non-coding RNA (607 nucleotides) under Zea mays. RNAcentral describes it as "long non-coding RNA (ZMAY_LNC004593)". The record is from RNAcentral. Lineage: Eukaryota; Viridiplantae; Streptophyta; Magnoliopsida; Poales; Poaceae.